GUAGUCCUGGCUGUAAACGAUGUCGACUUGGAGGUUGUGCCCUUGAGGCGUGGCUUCCGGAGCUAACGCGUUAAGUCGACCGCCUGGGGAGUACGGCCGCAAGGUUAAAACUCAAAUGAAUUGACGGGGGCCCGCACAAGCGGUGGAGCAUGUGGUUUAAUUCGAUGCAACGCGAAGAACCUUACCUGGUCUUGACAUCCACAGAACUUUCCAGAGAUGGAUUGGUGCCUUCGGGAACUGUGAGACAGGUGCUGCAUGGCUGUCGUCAGCUCGUGUUGUGAAAUGUUGGGUUAAGUCCCGCAACGAGCGCAACCCUUAUCUUUUGUUGCCAGCGGUCCGGCCGGGAACUCAAAGGAGACUGCCAGUGAUAAACCGGAGGAAGGUGGGGAUGACGUCAAGUCAUCAUGGCCCUUACGACCAGGGCUACACACGUGCUACAAUGGCGCAUACAAAGAGAAGCGACCUCGCGAGAGCAAGCGGACCUCAUAAAGUGCGUCGUAGUCCGGAUUGGAGUCUGCAACUCGACUCCAUGAAGUCGGAAUCGCUAGUAAUCGUGGAUCAGAAUGCCACGGUGAAUACGUUCCCGGGCCUUGUACACACCGCCCGUCACACCAUGGGAGUGGGUUGCAAAAGAAGUAGGUAGCUUAACCUUCGGGAGGGCGCUUACCACUUUGUGAUUCAUGACUGGGGUGAAGUCGUAACAAGGUAACCGUAGGGGAACCUGCGGCUGGAUCACCUCC
RNAcentral lists this ribosomal RNA (740 nucleotides) under uncultured bacterium. Its description in RNAcentral is "bacterial SSU rRNA". It matches the Rfam family "Bacterial small subunit ribosomal RNA", at positions 790 to 1530 of the family's 1533-position model. The record is from RNAcentral.